GCCUCAAAAUUAAGUAGCAGGCCUUGGAUGUAUAAGGUACAGGAAGGGAGAAAGGGAGGCAGCAAGAUGAAAGGAGAGGUCUAGAAGUCUCCUGGACACAUACCCAAAGGCAAAGCAAGGGAUGGAGGAUUACUUCCCAGGUUCUCAUAACAUGUUACUUGUUAGAGGUCAACUUUGAGAAAGUGACCCAUUUCCAGGGUCCAGGAGCAUGGGUCCCAGAAGGGCUGUGAGAUCAUUAGCAUUGAAAGCAGCAAGAAGGACAAGAAAGGCUUUCAGGUGAUCUCAAGAUGGAAGACCCCCUGUUCCUCUAUAAUCAUAAUAUUCAACGGAUGGAGAUUUGCACUUACUACAUGUACUUGGAGAAGUCAAAUAAUGAACAAUGUAUGUACGACAUCUGGUGGCUCCCAGAUUAUGUUACAUCGACCUUGCCUGGAGUCUGAGCCACAGAGGUUGGUGAUCCUGUUAGCCUGAACCUUUUCUUCUAUUGAAAUCCUACACAGCAUUAACAUGGGUCAGUCUGCCUGUGCUGGCAAGAUGGGAGCUAUUAAAUUUGUCAAAGAUUCCAGUUGUGAUGAAUAUAACAGCCCCAUUUU
This is a long non-coding RNA of Pan paniscus (pygmy chimpanzee), 593 nucleotides long. Lineage: Eukaryota; Metazoa; Chordata; Mammalia; Primates; Hominidae. The record is from Ensembl.